ACUACGGGAGGCAGCAGUGGGGAAUAUUGGGCAAUGGGCGCAAGCCUUACCCAGCACUACCGCGUGAGUGAAGAAGGUCUUCGGAUUGUAAAGCUCUUUGAUCAGGGACGAACAGAUGACGGUACCUGAAGAACAAGCCCCGGCUAACUACGUGCCAGCAGCCGCUGUAAAACGUAGGGGGCGAGCGUUGUCCGGAAGAACUGGGCGUAAAGGGGGGGUAGGCGGCAUAAUAAGUUAGAAGGGAAAUACCCAGGGCUUAACUCGGGUGCUGCUUCUAAGACUGUUGAGCUUGAGUGCGGGAGAGGUUAAUGGAAUUCCUAGUGUAGCGGUGGAAUGCGUAGAUAUUAGGAGGAACACCAGAGGCGAAGGCGAUUAACUGGACCGUAACUGACGCUGAGGCACGAAAGUGUGGGUAGCAAACAGGAUUAGAUACCCGGGUAGUC
RNAcentral lists this ribosomal RNA (443 nucleotides) under uncultured bacterium. RNAcentral describes it as "partial 16S ribosomal RNA". It matches the Rfam family "Bacterial small subunit ribosomal RNA", at positions 338 to 795 of the family's 1533-position model. The record is from RNAcentral.